ACAGCUUUUUCGUGGCUUUUUUUUCCCUUGCCAAUAUGUUAGAUGACCUAAAAGAGGCGUUUUUGGCUUAUAUAUUGCGUACCAAAGUCGUGGGCCAAAGUUCUCCUAUUUCUAAUCCAAAUCAGAUUCAGGGAUUGAUGCUAGGGUGGAUGCGUCGCAUCCACCUCGUCCUCCACUUCUCAGCUUCGGAUGCUACGGUGGAUGCUUCGCAUCCACCUCUUCCUCCACUUCUCAGCUUCGGAUGCUACGGUGGAUGCUAUGGGCCGACUUCACUGCUAAGGGUGCACGAAAUCUGAUCUUUUUCUAGAUUGGAUGCGACGCAUCCAAUCUCUCUUCCUCUACCUAGAGCACCUUUUAUUCAUAUUUUUGCACUCCAAACACCCUAAUUCACCACACACAACUCAAUUAGUCAUAAAACCAAUAAUUAAACCAUGUUGGGCAUUUUAAAGAUCAAAUAACAUCAAGACGCGGUUAAAACAUGGGUAAAGUAACAUCAACACAUAUCGAAAUAUGCCAAACAUCAGUUUAUAUACAUAAAAAAACCUCAAAUCAUUUCUCUUUUUUGCGCUAGAGUAGUCCUUUGAAGUGGUCAUCAACUUGCAAUUUUGCUGCUACAUCAUUUGGUUUCUUAAUACAAACUUCCAGUAAAACUUUUCAUU
This 659-nucleotide long non-coding RNA is filed under the name Nicotiana tabacum (common tobacco). Its description in RNAcentral is "long non-coding RNA (NTAB_LNC000763)". Lineage: Eukaryota; Viridiplantae; Streptophyta; Magnoliopsida; Solanales; Solanaceae. The record is from RNAcentral.